RNAcentral lists this ribosomal RNA (479 nucleotides) under uncultured bacterium. RNAcentral's name for it is "partial 16S ribosomal RNA". It matches the Rfam family "Bacterial small subunit ribosomal RNA", at positions 28 to 507 of the family's 1533-position model. The record is from RNAcentral.
GAUGAACGCUGGCGGCGUGCUUAACACAUGCAAGUCGAACGAAGCACUUUAACCUGAUUCUUCGGAUGAAGGGUUUUGUGACUGAGUGGCGGACGGGUGAGUAACGCGUGGGUAACCUGCCUCAUACAGGGGGAUAACAGUUAGAAAUGACUGCUAAUACCGCAUAAGACCACAGAGCCGCAUGUCUCGGUGGGAAAAACUCCGGUGGUAUGAGAUGGACCCGCGUCUGAUUAGGUAGUUGGUGGGGUAACGGCCUACCAGGCCAACGAUCAGUAGCCGAGCUGGGAGGGUGACCGGCCACAUUGGGACUGAGACACGGCCCAAAAUCCUAGGGAAGGCAGCAGAGGGGAAUAUAGCACAAUGGGGGAAACCGUGAUGCAGCGACGCCGCGUGAGCGAAGAAGUAUGUCGGUAUGUACAGCUCUAUCAGAAGGGAAGAGAAUGACGGUACCUGACUAAGAAGCACCGGCUAAAUACGUG